This 1287-nucleotide ribosomal RNA is filed under the name Nematocarcinus tenuicornis. Its description in RNAcentral is "SSU rRNA". It matches the Rfam family "Eukaryotic small subunit ribosomal RNA", at positions 441 to 1703 of the family's 1831-position model. The record is from RNAcentral. Lineage: Eukaryota; Metazoa; Arthropoda; Malacostraca; Decapoda; Nematocarcinidae.
UUACCCAAUCUCAGCUCGGGGAGGUAGUGACGAAAAGUAACAAUGCGGGACUCUUCCGAGUCUACGGAAUUGGAAUGAGCACACUUUAAAUCCUUUAGCAACAGCCAAUUGGAGGGCAAGUCUGGUGCCAGCAGCCGCGGUAAUUCCAGCUCCAAUAGCGUAUAUUAAAGUUGUUGCGGUUAAAAAGCUCGGAGUGCGAGUUCAGUUCCGGACUGGCCGGGGAGGUCACCGCCCGGUGCUUCCCCGUCAGGCUCCGAACAGCUUUCAUGAGUGAAAGCCAAGCCGGUUUCGCCGGGGUGCUCUUCACCGAGUGUCCCGCGCGGCCGGCCAGUUUACCUUGAAUAAAUCAGAGUGCUCAAAGCAGGCUACUCUUAAAAAUAAAGCCCGAAUGUUACCUGCUUGGAAUGAUGGAAGAUGAUCUCGGUUCCAUUUGUUCGGUUCUGGGAAUCCGAGUUAAUGAUAAACAGGGACUGUCGGGGGCAUCCGUACUACGACGCGAGAGGUGAAAUUCAGUGACCGUCGUAGGACGAACAACAGCGAAAGCAUUUGCCAAGAAUGUCUUCGUUGAUCAAGAACGAAAGUUAGAGGAUCGAAGGCGAUCAGAUACCGCCCUAGUUCUAACCCUAAACGAUGCUGACUAGCAAUCCGCCGUCGUUAUUCCCAUGACGUGGCGGGACGCCCCCGGGAAACCUCAAGUCUUUGAGUUCCGGGGGUAGUAUGGUUGCAAAACUGAAACUUAAAGGAAUUGACGGAAGGGCACCACCAGGAGUGGAGCCUGCGGCUUAAUUUGACUCAACACGGGGAACCUCACCAGGCCCGGACACCAGAAGGAUUGACAGAUUAAGAGCUCUUUCUCGAUUUGGUGGGUGGUGGUGCAUGGCCGUUCUUAGUUGGUGGAGUGAUUUGUCUGGUUAAUUCCGGUAACGAACGAGACUCUGGCCUAUUAAAUAGUCGACGUGGGUUUUGGUGCAUGGGCCCCGUUCGAUAAUGUCUUCUUAGAGGGAUGAGCAGCGAGUAUAGCUGCAGGAGAUUGAGCAAUAACAGGUCUGUGAUGCCCUUAGAUGUCCUGGGCCGCACGCGCGCUACACUGAAUGGAUUAGCGGGUUCUCCUUCUCCGAGAGGAGCGGGAAAUCGCGUGAAAACCAUUCGUGAUAGGGAUUGGGGCUUGCAAUUGUUUCCCAUGAACGAGGAAUUCCCAGUAAGCGCAAGUCAUCAGCUUGCGUUGAUUAAGUCCCUGCCCUUUGUACACACCGCCGCGCUCGCUACUACCGAUUGAAUGAUUUAGUG